This 461-nucleotide ribosomal RNA is filed under the name uncultured bacterium. RNAcentral's name for it is "bacterial SSU rRNA". It matches the Rfam family "Bacterial small subunit ribosomal RNA", at positions 331 to 793 of the family's 1533-position model. The record is from RNAcentral.
CCAGACUCCUACGGGAGGCAGCAGUGGGGAAUAUUGCACAAUGGGGGGAACCCUGAUGCAGCGACGCCGCGUGGGUGAAGGAGCACCUCGGUGCGUAAAGCCCUAUCGGCAGGGAAGAAAAGCGAACAGGUUCGCCUGGACGGUACCUGACUAAGAAGCCCCGGCUAACUACGUGCCAGCAGCCGCGGUAAUACGUAGGGGGCAAGCGUUAUCCGGAUUCACUGGGUGUAAAGGGAGCGUAGACGGCCAUGCAAGCCAGGGGUGAAAGCCCGGGGCCCAACCCCGGGACUGCCCUUGGAACUGCAUGGCUGGAGUGCGGGAGGGGCAGGCGGAAUUCCUGGUGUAGCGGUGAAAUGCAUAGAUAUCGCGCAGAACCCCGAUUGCGAAGGCAGCGUGCCGUGCCGCCACUGACGCUGAGGCACGAAAGCGCGGGGAUCGAACAGGAUUAGAUACCCGAGUAA